Non-coding RNA from Coturnix japonica (Japanese quail), 2353 nucleotides. Lineage: Eukaryota; Metazoa; Chordata; Aves; Galliformes; Phasianidae. The record is from RefSeq and is a predicted model, not a curated record.
GAGACACUGCGCUGUACGCAGCACGGAACAGCCUGGCGGUAUGCUGACUGCAGAGCAGCAACACAAGAGGCUCAUUUGAAAACACAGACACCUGCGUGCGGCAAGGGGGAGGCGAGCGGAUGGAUGAUGCAAGGCACUUGGCUGCACCACGGUCGGGCUGCGCCCUUCGGCCGCGGCGAGGAGCACCUCCCAGCGCGGCCGGCAGCAGCCUGAUUCAUACCCAUACUGGCUUAAGAAUACUGAUAACCUGCAGUUAUUACAUGCCCAGAUUCAAGCAGGAGUUCCUGCUGCUCCCAAAGCUACAGACUUUCCCUAAAAUGAAAAUAAAAUCUAUGUUGCUGGAAUUGCCUAAGGACCUUUCUCUACAUUCAAAGAAUGUUUUUGAAAGCUAUGCUAGCACAUAAAGCCCAGUUCUGUACACAAUAAAAUAAAAGAUGAAAAUAUCCACCGCAUCAGGUGAAAGAGAAGGUAGAGAUGGAGAGAUCAGAAGGCUGCUCAAGGACAUCAGGCCUUCCAAAAAUCAAAUCGCUUUUCCCAACUGAGUCACGUUUUUCUUCACACUUCAUUUUACUUUCCAGCUCACUGAAGUAAUUUUGGUAGUCUCUGCGGUGCUUAACUUUUUCCUGCUUGCUACUGCAGUGGCUUCUGUGUUAAGUGCUUGAUGGCAACUGCAUUUAUAUGUGCUUCAGAAUUGAGCUCUUGUAUGGGUAUUUAUCAGCUGUAAAUGCCUGCUCAUGCAGAUCUGUGGUUGCAUACAGAAAGGUGAGUUUUACAGAAAGUCUAUCAAUCUGCUACAGCUGUUUGAAAGUCCAGACUCCCAUGCUAGUUAUUUCUGCCUUACCAAGAUUCAAUUUUUAGCAGCCAUAUCUAAGUUAAUUACUCUGGCAUAACACAUCAAGCACUUGCCCAUCCCUCUACCCUCCCCAUUUUUGAUGUGUAAGGUUACAUUUCCAAAUUAGCCUGACAAGUCUUGAGAUAUAAAGGAUCAUAAGUAAAAUUGCUAUGGCAAGAAACAACUCUGUAACUCAAACUCCUUAUGAUCCUUACUCAAGUCAGUCUCUGCUGACUUCUCAGGAACUUGGGCUGUUACAUCCGCCUGAAGAAAUUCUUAACAGAGAUAAGUUGUUUCUUUACUACUGAAAAGUACGAGUAGCUCUGAAAAUGUAGCAUUUCAGGAGAUAACUAUAGAUUAGAUGUUAGAUACAGCUUGCAUAAAUCUGCUGUAUCAGUACAACAAAAAGCUUAGGAGAGACCUUGUGCUGUCUUAUGCUGUAAACGGACAGAAAUGUUCGAAGUUAGUGUAUCCUUCACUGAGCCUGCUUAAUAAUGAAAAGGCUGCCAUAUGAGAUAAAGAAAUGAAUACAGACGACACAGUGAAGUCUGAAAACGGGGACAGAAAACUCUCCAGGCCAAAUGGAAAUCUACUGGGAUUCUGUAAAUGAAUCAGAGAAGUGUUCAUUCCCAUUUUUUUAAGAUGUAGUAUAUCAGUCUCCAUUAGAAAUUCUUCCCAAUCCCAAAUAAGGAUUAUCAAUUUCUAAUCACACAUUAAAAUGUUUACAAACAGAACCUCACAAUUUUUAUAACUACAGUCUCACACUUUGUUCCCAAUUAAACUUGUAUGUCACUACUGGAUGAGCCAAGCUUAAGUAAAAUAAAUGGUGAAGACUACAGAAAUCAUGUUUUGUCAUCUCCUGAGACCACUACGUCCCAUGUUUCUUCAAUCACACAAUAAUUUACACAGAAAAUGCAGACUUUCCAAAGCUUUUUUUUUUUUUUUUUCCCCCUAACCUGGCCAAGAAAUGCCAUGAGCUGAAAUCCACCUUUUUCUAAUGACAAUACCGUCAUCUACUAAAGAAUAAAUACAAACAAAUUUCAAAAACAGGAGUUAAUAAUGCAGCUGCUAUAAAUGUUUGAAAAAAAAUUCCAGAAGAAGGUAAAUGGUUUGUUCAAAAGAAGAUGCAUCACUGACAGAAUAAAGCACAGGACAACAUCACUGCAGGUCAGUGUUAACCAUUUGUAGAUUUUCCAAAAAUGAAGAGAUGUUCUUUCUGUCUACAGAUUUCUUCACUGUUGAUAAUUACAGAUCUGACUAGAAAAGAUUAACUAAAGAACUUCAGAAUGAAAUACUACAAACUGAAUUGUUUUACUGCCUCUGUCAUUUAGAGAUUUCAAUGUUGAAUGUCCACAUGGGAAAAGUAUGUGCUGUUUUACACUCUAUGUAAUGAUCACUUAAUAGACUAGUAAAAUUAUGUUAUCUAUAGAAAUAUCUACAGCAUCUUUCUGGCUCAGUGAUGUACUAAGGGAGUAAACCUCACUUUCUUCACAGUGCUAUCAAACGACGGUCCCAUUUUCA